GACGAACGCUGGCGGCGUGCUUAACACAUGCAAGUCGAACGGAAAGGCCCAGCUUGCUGGGUACUCGAGUGGCGAACGGGUGAGUAACACGUGGGUGAUCUGCCCUGCACUCUGGGAUAAGCCUGGGAAACUGGGUCUAAUACCGGAUAUGACCAACUGUCUCAUGGUGGUUGGUGGAAAGCUUUUGCGGUGUGGGAUGGGCCCGCGGCCUAUCAGCUUGUUGGUGGGGUAAUGGCCUACCAAGGCGACGACGGGUAGCCGACCUGAGAGGGUGAUCGGCCACACUGGGACUGAGACACGGCCCAGACUCCUACGGGAGGCAGCAGUGGGGAAUAUUGCACAAUGGGCGCAAGCCUGAUGCAGCGACGCCGCGUGAGGGAUGACGGCCUUCGGUUGUAAACCUCUUUCACCAGGGACGAAGCGUGAGUGACGGUACCUGGAGAAGAAGCACCGGCCAACUACGUGCCAGCAG
This 472-nucleotide ribosomal RNA is filed under the name uncultured bacterium. RNAcentral's name for it is "bacterial SSU rRNA". It matches the Rfam family "Bacterial small subunit ribosomal RNA", at positions 28 to 514 of the family's 1533-position model. The record is from RNAcentral.